This 322-nucleotide ribosomal RNA is filed under the name uncultured eukaryote. Its description in RNAcentral is "partial 18S ribosomal RNA". It matches the Rfam family "Eukaryotic small subunit ribosomal RNA", at positions 1470 to 1796 of the family's 1831-position model. The record is from RNAcentral.
CCCUUAGAUGUCCUGGGCCGCACGCGUGCUACACUGAACGGUUCAAUGGGUGAGGUAGUGCGAAAGCAUGACCCAAUCUCAAAAUCCGUUCGUGCUGGGGAUAGAAGCUUGCAAUUCUCCUUCUUGAACGAGGAAUACCUUGUAAGCGCGAGUCAUCAUCUCGCGCUGAAUACGUCCCUGCCCUUUGUACACACCGCCCGUCGCUCCUACCGAUUGAGUGGUCCGGUGAGGCUUCGGGAGAGCUAAAUGGAUUGUGUUUCACAAACUAUUUGGCUUGAACUUAGUCAAACCUUACUACUUAGAGGAAGGAGAAGUCGUAACA